UGGUAAGACGCUACGGACUUAAAUUUUGAGCCUUAAUAGAGAAAUUUACUAAGUGACUGUUUUCAAAUUCAGGGAAACCUAAGGGAGAUAUGAGGUAAUCCUGAGCCAAAUUUGAAUUAUGAAAUAGGUGCAGAGACUCGAAGGAAACUAUCCUAACGAAAUUUUUUCUCUAUUUUUUUAUUACGAAUAUUAAUUCAGUGCACAGUACAAAAUAUAUUCGAAAUAAUAAAAACAUCUGAAUACUACUAUUCAUAUUAGUUUUUAAAUAAAUUAUAAUAGACGAGGAUAAAGAUAGAGUCCUUUUUUACAAUCUAUAUAAUUUUUAUUUAUAAAUAAUUGUAAAAAGAAAAUCCGUUGGCUUUAAUAGACCUUGAGGGUUCAAGUCCCUCUACCCCCA
Molecule: transfer RNA, 397 nt
Filed under: Frullanoides mexicana
Lineage: Eukaryota; Viridiplantae; Streptophyta; Jungermanniopsida; Porellales; Lejeuneaceae
Description: partial tRNA-Leu
Rfam family: Group I catalytic intron (bases 11-318)
About the family: Group I catalytic introns are large self-splicing ribozymes. They catalyse their own excision from mRNA, tRNA and rRNA precursors in a wide range of organisms. The core secondary structure consists of 9 paired regions (P1-P9).
Source: RNAcentral